Molecule: ribosomal RNA, 370 nt
Filed under: uncultured cyanobacterium
Lineage: Bacteria; Bacillati; Cyanobacteriota
Description: bacterial SSU rRNA
Rfam family: Bacterial small subunit ribosomal RNA
Source: RNAcentral
CGCAAGCCUGACGGAGCAAGACCGCGUGAGGGAGGAAGGCUCUUGGGUUGUAAACCUCUUUUAUCAGGGAAGAAGUUCUGACGGUACCUGAUGAAUCAGCAUCGGCUAACUCCGUGCCAGCAGCCGCGGUAAUACGGAGGAUGCAAGCGUUAUCCGGAUUUAUUGGGCGUAAAGCGUCCGCAGGUGGUUGUUCAAGUCUGCUGUUAAAGCGCGAGGCUUAACCUUGUAAAGGCAGUGGAAACUGAGCGACUAGAGUAUGGUAGGGGUAGCGGGAAUUCCCAGUGUAGCGGUGAAAUGCGUAGAUAUUGGGAAGAACACCAGCGGCGAAAGCGCGCUACUGGGCCAUUACUGACACUCAGGGACGAAAGCU